UACAGAGGGCCCAAGCGUUGUUCGGAUUCACUGGGCGUAAAGGGUGCGUAGGCGGUCGGGUAAGUCUGACGUGAAAUCUUCAAGCUCAACUUGGAAACUGCGUCCGAUACUAUUCGGCUAGAGGAAUGGAGGGGAGACUGGAAUACUUGGUGUAGCAGUGAAAUGCGUAGAUAUCAAGUGGAACACCAGUGGCGAAGGCGAGUCUCUGGACAUUUCCUGACGCUGAGGCACGAAAGCCAGGGGAGCGAACGGG
RNAcentral lists this ribosomal RNA (253 nucleotides) under uncultured bacterium. RNAcentral describes it as "partial 16S ribosomal RNA". It matches the Rfam family "Bacterial small subunit ribosomal RNA", at positions 524 to 776 of the family's 1533-position model. The record is from RNAcentral.